This 807-nucleotide ribosomal RNA is filed under the name uncultured bacterium. RNAcentral's name for it is "bacterial SSU rRNA". It matches the Rfam family "Bacterial small subunit ribosomal RNA", at positions 8 to 810 of the family's 1533-position model. The record is from RNAcentral.
AGAGUUUGAUCCUGGCUCAGAUUGAACGCUGGCGGCAGGCCUAACACAUGCAAGUCGAGCGGAUGAGUGGAGCUUGCUCCAUGAUUCAGCGGCGGACGGGUGAGUAAUGCCUAGGAAUCUGCCUGGUAGUGGGGGACAACGUUUCGAAAGGAACGCUAAUACCGCAUACGUCCUACGGGAGAAAGCAGGGGACCUUCGGGCCUUGCGCUAUCAGAUGAGCCUAGGUCGGAUUAGCUAGUAGGUGAGGUAAAGGCUCACCUAGGCGACGAUCCGUAACUGGUCUGAGAGGAUGAUCAGUCACACUGGAACUGAGACACGGUCCAGACUCCUACGGGAGGCAGCAGUGGGGAAUAUUGGACAAUGGGCGAAAGCCUGAUCCAGCCAUGCCGCGUGUGUGAAGAAGGUCUUCGGAUUGUAAAGCACUUUAAGUUGGGAGGAAGGGCAGUAAGUUAAUACCUUGCUGUUUUGACGUUACCAACAGAAUAAGCACCGGCUAACUUCGUGCCAGCAGCCGCGGUAAUACGAAGGGUGCAAGCGUUAAUCGGAAUUACUGGGCGUAAAGCGCGCGUAGGUGGUUCAGCAAGUUGGAGGUGAAAUCCCCGGGCUCAACCUGGGAACUGCCUCCAAAACUACUGAGCUAGAGUACGGUAGAGGGUAGUGGAAUUUCCUGUGUAGCGGUGAAAUGCGUAGAUAUAGGAAGGAACACCAGUGGCGAAGGCGACUACCUGGACUGAUACUGACACUGAGGUGCGAAAGCGUGGGGAGCAAACAGGAUAAGAUACCCUGGUAGUCCACGCCGUAAACGAU